Long non-coding RNA from Gasterosteus aculeatus aculeatus (three-spined stickleback), 2299 nucleotides. RefSeq lists it as uncharacterized. The record is from RefSeq and is a predicted model, not a curated record. NCBI's taxonomy places the organism in Eukaryota, Metazoa, Chordata, Actinopteri, Perciformes, Gasterosteidae.
UUUUACAGCUAUUUCAAUUGUCAUCAUCCUUGUUUUCCAAAUUGCAUAAAUUGUAGGGCUGUAGGAACGUUGUAUUCUCCAUGUAUCCCCACUAUGAACGGCAACACAGAGUGUAGAAGACAUUUUAGAGGCACAGAGGAAGUAAAGUAAAUGGAAAGAUGCCAGAAAACAUACACACGCUGAGGGAUGUUUUACGUUAUCUGUAGCAAUGAGAGGGCGGUUUGGGUUUGAGUUCCUGCCAAACUUGAGCCUCCACACACAGCUCCCCAAGCAGCAGCUGCUCAAACUGAUUGCAGCACAAAACAGCUGACUUUGAACUUCCAGACCUUUUCGUCAACACUGGAACAGCUGCGGCUGAAAAGAAUGAAAGUCCUGUACCCGUCGUCCAGCUGGCUAGCGGUGUAAACUUUUCCUAAUACGGAGCUGUGAUGGUUCGGACUGUCGCCUCGCAGCAAGGAGUUCCUUAACCACCCAGCGGCCUUUCUGUGUGGAGUCUGCAUGUUCUCCCCGUGUCGGCGUGGUUUCUCUGCGGGUACCCCGACUUCCUUCCACAGUCUAAAGACAUGCUGCGGGUGUCGUGUUAAUGAGCCGUAGGUGUGUGAAUGUGACGGUUGUUCGUGUCAAUGUGGCGGCCCUGCGAUUGACUGGCACCUCUCGCCUGAUGUUAGCUGGGAUUGACUCCAGCAACCCCUGUGACGUGACGUCACACUUGACUGCACUAAAUUCUCUUAAUAGCAUUGCUACUAUUACUAGUCUUCACAUAUGAGAGUAAUCCCAUAAGGCAUUUUACAAAUUAUUCAUCCAUAUGUCAGCAUAAUGUAUCUGACAUUGAAAAUCAUGCACACAGAGGUGCUGAGACGAACACACACACAUACAGCUUGAUAUUUAUUUGACGGAUCGUAUAUCUUUUUGCCCUAUUUUCAUGAGAGGAAAAUCCAAUUAUGUUUAAUAAUCUACGUCACUAAAACAUCCAAUGGAGAAUUGAGCAGAAACAGUUAAAAGAGAGAGGGAGACCCUGAGAGCGAAAAACACACAUUCCAAAUUGCAGACAUCCAAAUUCACUAAACACACAGACUCAAACACACAAAGGGUCAACUGUUAAAAGCUGUAUGCUAUUUUCUCCAUUUUAUGAACAUUAUUUAAGCAUAUACAGUUGAAAUUGAGAGAAAUAGAUCUUCUCCUUACAACAUUACCAUAAAAAGUCAAACAUCAUCAAUGUUUAGCCGUAGCUUGCUAGCUACUAAACUACUAAAACUCUAUGAUCUUAUGUGGUUUUAAGAGCAAAAGCGGCAUUUGACCACUAAUCUCAUGUUGUGUUAAAGCUUCUCUGACCCAAAGCUCUACAGCUACCCACCAAGAAACAAAGAAAAGCCUCGUUAUGUCAUUGCGGUGUUGACUCAAGAGGGCAGCAGCACAUCCAUUGAACCUGCCUCCAUUUCUGCUGCAGGUGUUUGUCUGAGGAGGAGCCUGAACACACACCUUUACACCUCUGUGUGCGCAUCCACUUCUUUCAACUGCUAAUCUCUUCUACUGCUGUUGGGUUCAAGCCUCAGUCUGGACUAAAAAGUCUUUUUAGCACGGACACAGUUUCAGGUGUAUCAGGUGUUGUUAGGGCAGCUUGAGAGAGUAAGAGAUGGGAGGAAGAAAUAAGAGACGGAGAAAAAGAGGAAAAAUUGAUCAAGGAAAAGAAAAGGGAGGGAUGAGAGAGACCAAAGAGAGGGAGGUGAGAGAAGUGUAAAGAGAGUGCAGAUGAUGUGAGGGAUGGAAAAGGGGGCGAGCUAAAUGGAGACCGAGAAUGUAAUUUUGGAUCUAGGCAAAAGAAAGAGAUGAGAAGAGAAGAGUAGAAGCGGAGGAACGUAAAAUCAAAGAAGAGGGAGCGAUGAGACGGAAACACAACGAAGAAGAAAAGAGAGAGAAUGAGAAUAGAGGAGAAAGUCAUUGAUCUUGAAAAUAAAAUGAGGAACGGUGAGGAAAAGGAAAGUCGAUGGAGAGAUAACGGUUUAAUGGGUGAGAAAGAAAGGAGACAGAGUGAGAGAGAGAGAUGUUAUCGACCAUAUGAAAGUGCUGUAAUGUCGCCCCCCCCACACACACACACACACACACACAUUUUAUUUUCCCUCUAAUUUGAUUAAAACUCCUCCUCCCCGUCUGCAGGUUGUCAGCCGUGUCACUCAACAUACCGGCUCUGUUGCGUUACACGGCACAUCUGUUCAUACCAGGAUACAUUUUUCCAUUUGUGAAACUAAGUUCUGGCGAUAUUGGAUUUUCCCCUACUGAUGAUGUUUCUUUUGGAAAAACA